CAAUUAUUGCACUGUCUUUGU
Non-coding RNA from Caenorhabditis elegans, 21 nucleotides. The record is from Ensembl. NCBI's taxonomy places the organism in Eukaryota, Metazoa, Nematoda, Chromadorea, Rhabditida, Rhabditidae.